Molecule: RNA transcript, 12736 nt
Organism: Mirounga angustirostris (Northern elephant seal)
Lineage: Eukaryota; Metazoa; Chordata; Mammalia; Carnivora; Phocidae
Gene name: protein BEX1-like
Exons: 1
Source: RefSeq, a predicted model, not a curated record
AGUAGUAGUAAUAGUACUAGUAGCAGUAGUGGAAUUGCUGCUGCUACUGCUGUUAGUCCAGUUACUGUUAUUGUCAUCAUUUGUAUUAUAAAAUAAACUUUUGAGACAUCCAAAUUACAUAACUAACAUUGUACUUGGAGUCCAUUGAUCUAAAACUUAUUUAGCUACCCCUGCUAACCUUCAGCAAGCAGUUCACUGAACUUUAAUGGGCCUUGGGUGCUCUGUCAGUAGAAUAGUGUUAUAACAUCUUUCCUGUCAGGUAAUCUCUUGAUCUGUAAAACAUUACUUACUAGAAAUCUUACAGUUCCAGAAAUUAUGGUCUAACUUUGAACCGUGAAAGAAAGAGAACUGAUGAUGCUCAGCCUUCCUAUCUCUCCAUGAGGUCCAUUUUCUUUCUUUCAGAAAAAUAGUUUCUUAUGUGUGUGGAGUUGACAACACAGGUGAAGCAUUUAAUGCUUGUUAGACUAUAAAAGGCUUAUUCUCAUUCUGAUCUUCAUACUUUAAAUUUAUUGCUAAAUUUAAUGUGAAAAUAAAAUUAGGGACAAGCUAAAUUGUUUUCUUUUAAGCUGUGUGCAUAUGGUGAUUAGUGUGCCCUAUUUUAUAUUUUCCUAACACCUUAUGUGUGCCUUUAAAUGGUGCUUACUAUCGUGCUUCAAUUAUUUGUAUGUCUAGCUUCCUACAGGAUCGAGCUACUUUGGCAGAUCUUUAUAUUCAUAGUGACUAGCAAGUACAUGAAAACUAACAGCUUUUUAAAAAUUGCUGACUUAUAUGAAUCCUAGAUUAGCCUAUAAUUAAUUAGGUUUGUCUUAACUGUUGAUUUGAGGCCAUGGUCAUUCUGACCCUAAAUUAAUGAUGCACUUGAUUCCCUGGUCCUAUCAGCUUCUACUUAAGAUGUAAUGCUAGUUUUGAAUAUUAAUAUUGUCCAAAUGAACUUAAAGCGACUUAAAAUUUGUGAAAGUUACUAACUUUAAAAGGAAUUUUUUCCUGUUUGAUAAAAUAGAAAAGAAUGAUUGCAUUACUUUAUGAAUUUUGUCAAUUUAAGACAUACGGGAAGGGUAAAACUGGAGGUAAAAAAACAAUAGAAGAAACAAUGCAAAUGUUCCAUUUUUGGGGUGAGGCUGUUCUAUACUCCUUCUUUACCUGAAAGAGGUGGGAGAAAAUGUCGUAGGAAAACAGAAUGUGAUUAUAUAACAGGAAAGAAUGAAAAUAAAGCUAAGCUAUUCCCAAAGGAUGUUAAGCCUUGAUUUAGUAGUUGUCAGUUGGAGGUUUUCUUUUUUUUUCAUCAAGCUAGAAUUAUGUAUUCUUGCCAAUUCUGGGCCCACAGAUAUUUUUUAUAUAUGGUGUUGAUAAUUUUGACAUCAAUAGAUAACAGUCCACUCUGCCUUAUGUAGCUUUUCCUCAAGGAUUGGAUAGCACGUUGCCAUUAAGCAUCUAUAUCACAGUAUGUAAAUAAUGAUAGGUAAUCUAUACUUAGUGACUCUCCACGUCUCCCGUAGUAUAUUUACAGAGUGAUUAAAUUCUCUAUCUCUAAAUCACUCACUGGAUCUUGAGUUUGUUGAGAAUCCCCACAGUACCUCAAAACUCAAAACCCAAACCUGAACUCAUCUUUUUUCCCCUCCUCCCCAUCCAUGACUUGCCCACAAAGAUCCCUCCCUUGGUACAUGACACUACCAUCCAUUGGAUUGCUCAAAUCAGUAUUACUCCUGGCUCCAUCCUCGUGUCACCCAUAUCCAUCCAGUCAUCAAGUUUUACGAAUUUACCUUGUACAUAUAUCUCAAAUCUAUUCACUUCUUCCCUUUUUAUUACCAUAGUUCAAGCCAUGUUUAUCUCUUCUCAGUUGUAUUACUGUCAUAGCCUCCUAAACUGGUCUCCCACCAUCAGUGCCAUCCAUUUCUUACUGGUUUUUUUUUUUUUUAAAGAUUUAUUUAUUUAUUUGAGAGAGAGAAUGAGAGACAGAGAGCACAUGAGAGGGGGGAGGGUCAGAGGCAGAAGCAGACUCCCUGCCGAGCAGGGAGCCUGAUGCGGGACUCGAUCCAGGGACUCCAGGAUCAUGACCUGAGCCGAAGGCAGUCGCUUAACCAACUGAGCCACCCAGGCACCCCCAUUUCUUACUGCAGUCGCUUAACCAACUGAGCCACCCAGGCACCCCCAUUUCUUACUGUUUUUACACUGUUCAGGUAAUUUUCCUAAAACAACUGUCGCUCUUCUGCUUAAAGACAUUCAGUGGCUGUCCUUGGCUUUCAAAGUAAAAUCUCAAUUCUUUGAAGUGUUUUUGGCACCCUUCAUGAUCUGGCCCCUGCUACAAGAUACAGCCAUAUGGAGUGACUUGUAGUUCCUUGAGACCUGUACUGGAGGUGGGCACCAUUAGGUCUUGACACACACGAACUCCCAGUUUUCAUUCAUCUCAGCUUGGACUUUCUCCAAAAAAUCUUCACUAAUACCCCAACAUCAUCUAAUAUUGGUUAGAUAUUCUUGUGUAUUUCCAUAGUACUUUCUGCUUAUUCCUAUUACAGCAUGUGACAUACUGUAUUUUUAUUGCCUGUUUAGUUGUCUGUAUCUCUCCUAAAUUCCUGGACGGCAAAUACAAUAUUCUGUUUGGUCGCUCCAUUUCCCCCCCCACCCCCUUUUUACAGUUGUCAACAACUUUGGAGCUCCUUUCUUCAGGUCCAUUUCCUUCCUUCCUUCUUCCUUCUUUCCUUCCUCCCCUCACUUUCUUUCAAUUAAAAUUGUAUUUAUUUUUCGACUUAUUUAGACAUUAAAAACAAAAAACAGUUUAUCCAUUUCUCCUACCACCCAUCUGCCCCCUGCUGUAGCAACUAUCAAUCUGUUCUCUGUAUUUAUGAGUGGUUUUCAGGAGUUUUUUUGUUUUUUAUAAGCUUUGGAGUUUUUUGUUUUUGUUUUUUUAGAUUCCACAUGUAAGAGAAAUCAUACAGUGGUUGUCAUUCUUCAUCUAACUUACUUCACUUAGCAUUAAUGCCCUCAAGAUUUACCCAUGUAACCACAAAUGGCAAGAUUCCUUUCUUUUUUAUGACUGAAUAAUAUUCCAUUGUGUGUAUAUACCACAAUUUCUUUAUCCACUCAUCAGUCAGUGGACACAGGUUGUUUCCGUAUAUUGGCUGUUGUAAAUAAUGCUGCAAUGAACAUUGGGCGGGGGAGAUAUGUAUAUCUUCUUGUGUUAGUGUUUCUGUUUUCUUCAGAUAAUAGCCAGAAGUGGAAUUGUUGGAUCAUAUAGUAGUUCUGCUUUUAGUUUUUUAAGGAACCUCCAUACUCUUUUGUGUAGUGGCUGUACCAGUUUACAUUCCCACCAGAAAUGCACAAGGGGUCCCUUUUCUCUACGUCCUCACCAACACUUGUUAUUUCUAGUUUUUUUGAUAAUAGCCAUUCUAACAGGUAUGAGUGAUACCUCAUUGUGGGGUUUUUUUUAUUUAAGAUUUCUUUAUUUUAGAGCAAGCAAGCAGGGGAGGGGGAGAGGUUGAGGGAGAGAAUCUCAAGCACAUUUUCUGCUGAGUGCAGAGUACAACAGGGGGCUCGAUCGCAUGACCCUGAGAUCAUGACUUGAGUCGAAAUCAAGAGUCCCGAUGCUUAACUGAGCCACCCAGGUGCCCCCCUCAUGUGGUUUUGAUUUGCAUCCCCUAAUGAUUAAUGAUGUUAAACAUCUUUUCAUAUACCUGUUGGCCUUAGUAUGUGUUUGGGAAAAUGUCUAUUUAAAUCUUCUGCCCAAUUUUGAACUGGAUUGUUUGGGUUUCGUUUUUGUUUUGCUGUUGAGUUGUAGGCGUUCUUUAUACAUUUUGUAUAUUAGCCUUUUAUCAGAUACAUAAUUUGCAAAUACUUUCUUCCAUUCAAUAGGUUGCCUUCUCAUUUUGUUGAUAGUUCCCUUUGCUGUGUAGAAGCUUUUUAGUUUGAGGUAGUCCCACUUGCUUAUUUUUGCUUUUGUUGUUUUUGGUUUUGGUGUCAGAUUAAAAAAAAAAUCAUUGCCAAGACCUGUGUCAAGGAGUUUACUACCUAUGUUUUCUUCUAGGAGUUUUAAUGGUUUCAAGUUUUUAAUCCAUUUUGAGUUUAUUUUUGUGCAUAGUGUAAGAUAAUGGUCCAGUUUCAUUCUUUUGCAUAUAGGCUGUCUAGUUUUUCCAGCAUCAUUUAUUGAAGACACUGUCCUUUCCCCAUUUUAUAUUCUUGGCUCCUUUGUCAUAAAUUAAUUGGCCUUAUAGGUGUGGGUUUAUUUCUGGGCCUUCUGCUGAUUUUUGUGUCUUUUUACUCCCAAUACAAUACUGUUUUAAUUACUCUAGCUUUGUAAUAAAGUUUGAAAUCAGGGAGCGUGAUGCCUUCAGCUUUGUUCCCCUCAAGAAUCAGGCAGGGGCUUUUAUGUUUCCAUAUAAAUUUUAGAGUUGUUUGUUCUAUUUCCAUGAAAAAUGCCAUUGAGUUUAUGAGAGGGAUUGCAUUGAAUUUAUAUAUUGCUUUGGGUAGUAUGGACACUUUAACAAUAUUAAUUUUUCCAAUCCACGAGCACAGAAUAUCUUUCUUAUUUAUUUGUGUCUUCACUUUUUUUCAUUAAUGUCUUACGGCUUUCAGUAUAUAGGUCUUUUACCUCCUUGGUUAAAUUUAUUCCUCGGUAUUUUAUACUUUUUGAUGCUUUUGUAAAUUGGACUGUUGUGUUUUUUUUAAUUCUUUUUUAAUUCUUUUGUAUUUAUUUUAGAGAGAGUAUGAGCAGGAGGGGCAGAGGGAGGGAGAGUCUCAAGCAGGCCCACGCUGAGCACGGAGUCUUACACAGCACUCGAUCCCACAACCCCAAGAUGUUUCUUCUUUUUUCUUUUUUUUAUCUUGUAAUAGUUCAUUCUUCAUGUAUGCAGCAGCUUUUUAUGUAUUGAUUUUGUAUCCCGCAACUUUACUGAAUUUAUUCUAACAGUUUUUUAUGGCUUUAUGGUCUUCUAUAUAUAACAUAAUGUCAUCUGUAAAUAGUGACAGCUUUACUUCUUCCUUUCCAAUUUGGAUGCCUUUAUUUGUCCUGCCUAAUUGCUCUGGCUAGGAUUUCCAAUACUGUGUUGAAUAAAAGUGGCAAGAGUGAGCUAUUGGUCUUCUUCCUGGUUUUAGAGGAAGAGCUUUUAGCUUUUCACCCUUGAGUAUGUUAGCUGUGGGCUUGUCAUAUAUGGCCUUUACUGUGUUGAAGUAUGUUCCCUCUAUACCCACACUGUUGAGAGUUUUUAUUGUAAAUGGAUGUUGAAUUUUGUCAGAUGCUCUUGCUGCAUCUGUUGAGACAGUCAUCUGAUUUUUAUUCUUUGUUAAUAUGUUAUAUCUCAUUGACUAAUGUGCAGCUGUUGAGCCAUCUUGCAUCCCUGGAAUAAAUCCCACUUGAUCGUGGUGUAUGAUCCUUUUAAUGUAUUGUUGAAUUCAGUUUGCUGAUCUUCUGUUGAGGAUUUUUACAUUUAGGCCUAUAAUUUUCUUGUGGCCCUUACCUGGUUUUGCUAUCGGGGUAAUGUAAAAUGAGUUUGGAAGAGUUUUCUCCUCUUCUUUUUUGAAAGAGCUUGAGAAGGACUCAUAUUAAUUCUUCUUUGAAUGGUUGGUAGAACAUAACAAUAAGAACCCAUCAUAAAAGGAAGAAGACCUAUCAGUAUGCUGCCUUAUAAGAGACUCGUUUUCCAAAAUAGAUCAUAUGUCAGACCACAAAACAAGUCUUAAUAAAUUUAAGAGGAUUCAAAUCAUAUCAGGCAUCUUUUCCAACCACAGUAGUGUGAAACUAGAAAAUUAAUUACACAAAAAGACUGGCGAAUUCAUGAAUUUGUGGAUAUUAAACAGUAUGCUGCUGAACAACCAGUGGAUCAAAGGAGAAAUAAAAAAAUACCUUAAAACAAAUGAAAAUGGAAAUAUGACAAAUUUGUGGGAUGCAGCAAGAGCUGUUCAAAGAGGGAAUUUUGUGGCAAUAAAUGCCUACCUCAAGAAACGAGAAGUCCAGGGGCACCUGGGUGGUUCAGUCGUUAAGCAUCUGCCUUCAGCUCAGGUCAUGAUCCCAGGGUCCUGGGAUCGAGCCCCCGCAUCGGGCUCCCUGCUCAGCGGGAAGCCUGCUUCUCCCUCUUCCACUCCCCCUGCUUGUGUCCCUCUCUUGCUGUCUCUCUCUCUGUCAAAAAAUAAAUAAAAUCUUCAAAAAAAAAAAAAAAAGUCUAAAACAACUUUAUACCUCAAGGAACUGAAAAAACAGCAGAUGAAGCCCAAAGUUAGUACAAGGAAGGAAAUAACAAAGAUUAGAGUAGAAAUUAAUAAAAUAGAGACUAAAAAGACAAUAGAAAAGAUUAAGGAAACUAAGAACUGGUUCUUUGAAAAGAUAAAAUUGACAGAUUUUUAGCUAGACUCACAAGACAAAAGGAGAGAGGGCUCAAAAUCAGAAAUGAAAGAGGAAAUACUACAACUGAUAGCAUAGAAAUACAAAGGAUUAGAAGAGAUUUUCUUGUUAUAAGGAUUGGAAGAGAUUAGAAUACAGUUACUUGCCAAUAAAUUGGACAACCCUAGAAGAAAUGGAUAAAUUCCUAGAAAUAUACAACCUACCAAGACUGAAUCAUGAUGAAGGAGAAAAUCUGAACAGAUGAAUUACUAGUAAGGAGGUUGAAUCAGUAAUCAAAAAACUCCCAACAAGGGCCUUCACUCACUUGCUUCUCGGUGCCUGCUCCCGGUGGCCCUGAAGGCAUGUGGGCCAGAGGCGGCCCUAAAGAGUCGGAGGCGGAGGGGAAGCAGGUGUGCAAGUCUAAGUGUCGUGGAGGCGCACUCUUAGGCGAGAAUUGGGAGGAGGAGGAGACUGCAAGGAUAGGCCCAGGAGCAAUGGCGUCCAAAGAGGAACAAGCAGUAAAAAAAUCUCAACAUGGAGAAUGCCAAACAGGAAAAUGAAAAAAAAGGAUGAAAAGGACCAAGUUGCUAAUAAAGGAGAACCCUUGGCCCCCCUCCCUUUGGAAGCUGGUGAAUAUUGUGUGCCUAGAGUAAAUCAUAGGUGGUUCCGUGUUAGGCAGCCCAUCCUGCAGUAUAGGUGGGACAUGAUUCAGAGAAUAAUAAAUUUAUAUUGGAGAACCACAGGCAAGGAUGAGAGAGGAGAAUAUGGAAAGGAUUGGGGAGGAGAUGGAAAAGCUGAGGGAAAAGCAAUUCAAUCAUAGUCUGUGGGCAGUUAGCACUGACCCUCCUCACCAUGACCAUCAUGAUGAGUUUUGCCUUAUGCCUUGAAUCUUGAUGUUUUCCCUGAACCUGCUUCCUGAACUUAAUGUUCUCAAUGUAACCUUUGUUGUAAACCUUUUGGUGUUACAUGUCUCUUGUGGGUCUCCUAUGACCAGCUUCUAAUUGAAUGUUGUAUUUUGACCCAGAAUGUAAGAUUCUGUCAGCAGGGGAGUUUUACCCUAUUGCAUGGCAAGGUGUUCAUUAUAUAUUGUGAAGUUAGUAAAGCAGUUUAAAAGAAAAAAAAAGAAAAAAAACUCCCAACAAAAGUUCAGAAUCAGACUGUUCCACUGGUGAAUUCUUCUAAACAUUCAAAGAAUUAAUGGUUGCUCUGUUUCACCAGUAAUUCACGUCAUGCAUGGCACAUUCAUUUAUUUAGUCUUCAUUUAUUCAGCAAAUAUUUGUUGAACAUACUUUAUGUCAGGCAGUUUAUUUAAUUUUUUUAAAGAUUUAUUUUUUAUUUGAGAGCGUGGGAGGGGGGAGGCUGCAGAGGGAAAGAAUCUCAAGCAGACUCCCCACUGAGAGCACAGAGCCUGAAGUGGGGCUCCGCUCUGCAGGAUUUCACUACCCUGACAUCAUGACUUGAGCCGAAAUCAAGAGUUGGACAUUUAACCUACUGAGCCACCCAGGCGCUCCUGUCAGUCCAUUUAGAAUGAAGUGGUCUAAAUUUUUUCUUUUGAAAUGAAGUCCUGUUUGAGUUUUCAGUAAGUUUUUAUAGUAUCAAAGAAGUGCUUCUAAAAAUUAUUAUUCAGUGGUCAACAUAUAAAUAUAUUUUCUUUGACCAGUCUUAGAUAACCCCUAUAGUUGAUGUUGUGGUGGAAGUUUAGCAGAAGUGUAUGUAUGUGUAUAAAUAAUAACUGAAUACAUUAAUGGAAGUAUAUAAUGGUAUCUUGAAUAAUUAUAUUUUUUAAAGUUUGUAAGUAUAUAAUUAGAAACACCUGAUUAUAGCAAGUCAUGCUUUUAAAAAGCAGUGUUUUAUUAUGACUUUAUUUCUGGACUCCUUACCUUAGAAUAUUUAAGAAAAAAAUUUAAAAUACUUAAGUUUUAAGUAAAAUAUUUAAGUUAAAAAACAUUUAAAAUGAAUUUUAUUUUCAUUUCAGUUUAUUCAUUGGAUUUUUUUAGUAGUUGGAAAAGCUGUGGUAGUUCCCAACUGUGUUAGAAACAGUUGUCAAGUGUAGUUCUUUACAGCGUGAGACUGGGAGCUGUUUCUAAACACACAGUUACUAGCACAGAUUUGCUUAAGUUUCCAAUCUGAUCUGUGGCUAUGGGUAAGUAAUGUGGAAUAUAUAUAAUAUUUGUGGGUGAAAAAAAUUACUGUAAAUUAAAUUCCAUAAACUCUAACUUCAGGUUACUGUAUAACCUAAAGGACUUUGAACCUCAGCCAAGCAGUAGUAUAGUUUUUUGUAAGCCUUUAAAAUAGUUAAGUGUAUAAAAAUUAAGAUGUUCUUCUAGCUUCAGGAUAUAUAGACUUAAGUCUCUUCUUUUGUUGAAAUGAAUCCUAGUACAAAUUUUCAGUCAUAUUUAAUACCAAGGAUUUCAAAGAUUAUUUUUUAGUUAAAGAAGUGUGCUUAUUUUCCAGACAGCUUUACUUAAACCUUGGCUCCUAUUAAUAGUGAAGACUCUGGUAUAUUUGUAUAGGGUUUACAGUAAAAUCUAAAAAUUACAAAAUGAAAAUGUGUGUGUGUGUGUAUAACAUCCUUUUAAAUUGUAUGGUACUAUUUAUCUUUUAGAGCACUGAAAAGGGAUUUUUGUUGUUGUUGUUUUUAAGAUUUUACUUUUGAGUAACUCUGUACCCAACGUGGGGCUCAAACUCACAACCCUGAGAUUAAGAGUUAUGUAAGAUCUACCGACUGAGCCAGCCAGCGGCCAUAGAGCACGGAUAAGGUCUUAAAAAAAUGUGUGUGUGUGUGUGUCACUGAUUUUUUAAAAUAUAGCUACUAGAAUAUUAAAAAUUAAACUAAGUAUUACAUAUGUAGGGGUGCCUGGCUGGCUCAGUUGGAAGAUCAUGUAACUCUUUUUUCUUUCAUAUGUGUGUGUGUGUGUGUGUGUGUGUGUGUGUGUUUCAAAGAGUACUUAUUUUUUUAUUUUUUUUUAUUUGUCAGAGAGUAGAGCGAGCGAGCACAAGCAGAGUUAGGGGCAGAGGGAGAAGCAGGCUCCCUGCUCAGCAAGGAGCCCAAUGCGGGACUCAUUCCCGGACCCUGAGAUCAUGACCUGAGCCAAAGGCAGACACUUAACUGACUGAGCCACCCAGGCAUCCUGAAAAGCAUGUGACACUUGAUCUCAGGGUUAUGAGUUCCAGCCCUACAUUGGGUGUAGAGAUCACUAAAAUAAUAAAUAACUUUUAAAAAUUACAUAUAUGGAUCACAUUCUGUUUCUACUUAGACAUCGCUGGCUAUUUCCUAACUGAAAAUGAUGUUUUCUGUAAGUUAUGGUUGAAAUUGAGCAUUUUUGGCAUUGAGAAUUAUUUUUUUUUAUUAGUCUUAGAUUACAGCUUGCUAAAUAUAGGCGUUCUAAUAUUAGAUGUAAAGUGAAACUAUAAAGUUAAAAAAAAUUUAACAAAAUGUUAUUUUGAGGGCUUGCUUUUAGACUGUUGUUAGAACAAACCAAUAACUAACAUUUUAUGAUUUCUUGAUUCUUGGAUUGGAGCUAGUUUUAGGCAGUUACAUUAACUAUUCAUUUUAUUCAUUGUCUCGUUUAUUUAUUUAACAAAUUUUUUUUUCGUUUGCUUCAUAUGUGCCAAAUCUAUCUUGGGGAAUGCUUCUCCAUAAUUUUAGGAGGGAACAAAAAAUAAUGGCUGUGCAUGUUAAAUAAGUUCAUGGAGAUGGAGGUAAAAAGAAAUGAAGCAGUUCCUGUCCAGGUUUUUGUUUUAUGUAAAGUAGUAUGUAAGAUCAUCAUAGUUCACCCACUAGUGAUGGUUCUAGGAAAAAUUCCUUGAAUUGAAUAAAACUAAAGUGUUCUCCAUGGAUGUGAAUCAACAUUUAUUGAGUACUUACUGGACAACAAAGUAGAAACUGAGGAAAUAUAUAAACAAGAGGCCUUGGGGCACCCGAGUGGCUUAGUCGGUUAAGCAUUCAACUCUUGAUUUCGGCUCAGGUCAUGAUAUCAGGGUCCUGGGAUUGAGCCCUGUGUAGAGCCCCAUGCAGGACUCCGUGUUCAGCUUGAGAUUCUCUCCAUCUCCCUCUGCCCCUCCUUUGCUCUCUCUCUCUCUCAAAUAAAUAAAUCUUAAAAAAAAAAAAAAAAAAAAAAAGAUGCCUUGCCCUCAGAGCUUAUAUUUUUGUUAGGAAAAUAUGGCAUAAAACAUAAAAGUAAAUAACAACAUAAGGCAGCUAUGACAUAUAUGGUCCUUAUCAGUACUGCAGAUUCUUAUACAAUUCUACAGGAAAUCCAAAAAUGAAGAGAACACUAAUGACUAGAGUGUUGUUGUUUUUUAAAUCCUUCUUCUUUGCUUAUUAUAAUAGUGGCCAAGUGAUCUUUUCAGAAUGACCCCUUUUUAAAUACCUUCUAGCACUGUAACUUAUUCUCAGAACAGUCAGUGGUAACUUAUUAUGAGAACUAUGUAGAAAUUUAGCACAGAUUACCUCAGCACAAGUAAGAAUUUAAUACAUUUCUUCUAGAACUGAGCUUUGAGUGCUUUAGAACAGGACAGUGUUUACAAAUGGGAAGUUGAGGUUACGAUGGCAUUACACAAUUCAAAUUAUGUAGCUUCAUGUAUUUGUUUGGUGUGAACUUCAGGUUGCAGCUGAGUUAACUAACACGUUUUCUUUCCAUUAGUACCUCUGAAUUCCUUACUUUUCAGUCUUUAAUAUUUGUUGUGUUGAUGGUGAGAAGGAAAGGAUUCUGGAUUGGGUGGGUGAGGUGUAGGUGUCUGUAAUAAUAAGAUCUAUAGAUUUUAAAUAGGAAUGGGAGUGGGGUGAGAGAGAGGGUUGUAUAGGAUGAAAAGUUUUGAGAAUGUACUUCUGAGUGUUAAAGAAACUGGUUACCAGCAUUAUAAACCAAGCUGCUAGAGAUAUCAUCCCCACAUGCAUACACACUACAAAUAUACAGAAAUGUAGCACAAAACAAGAGCAAAACUGUAAGUGCAUAGCUAAGCUCUAAAGAAGGAAAGAAGAGAAGGAAACCAGAAAUGAGAGAAGUCAAAUCAAAGCAGUAAGUGGGAGUUGGUGCUGCUGCAUAAAAUAGCACAGGGACCUUUUGGUCCUGGGAUGUAUCUCCUAAGGGUUCUGGGGUGGAAUUUGGUGUGUAUAUGGGGAUGGGAGAUAUGUGGCCUUGGACCUUUUCAAAAUAGAGCUAGCACUAAGACCCAGGCCUGUGGCCUAGAACCCACAGCUUCCGAAAUUGUGCAGAAAUUUUAAAUGACCAGUGAUAAUCUAAAAAAGAAUAUAAAGGAACUCCUGGGUGGCUCAGUUGGUUAAGUGGCUGCCUUCGGCUCAGGUCAUGAUCCUAGGGUCCUGGGAUCGAGUCCCACAUCAGGCUCCUUGCUCAAGGUGGAGCCUGCUUCUCCUCUGCUUGCCUCUCCCCCUGCUUGUGUUCUCUGUCUCUCUCUCUGACAAACAAAUAAAAUCUUUAAAAUAUAUAUAUAAAAGAAUAUAAAGUAAGCGUGUGUAAAAUUUUAAAAGGAUAAAAAAAAGGGAGAUGAAGCAUGGUGAUGUAAUAGGCCUAUUUAAAAAAGAAACAGUGGGGCGCCUGGGUGGCUCAGUCGUUAGGCAUCUGCCUUCGGCUCAGGUCAUGAUCCCAGGGUCCUGGGAUUGAGCCCCACAUCGGGCUCCCUGCUCAGCCGGAAGCCUGCUUCUCCCUCUCCCAAACCCCCUGCUUGUGUUCCCUCUCUCUCUGUCUCUCUCUCUGUCAAAUAAAUAAACAAAAAUCUUUAAAAAAAUAAAAUAAACAGUAAGACUUGAAAAAGAAAAACAAAUCAACUUUCAGAAAUUAAAAAUUAAAUAAUGGAGGGGCACCUGGCUGGCUCAGUUGGUGGAGCAUGCGACUCUUGAUCCAGGGUUCUAGGUUCAAGCCCCAUGUUGGGUGUAGGGAUUACUUAGGAGUAAAAUAUUUUCAAAUUUUUCUUUAUUUUUUAAAAGAUUUUAUUUAUUUGUCAGAGCGAGAGCACAAGGAGGGGGAGUGGCUGGCAGAGGGAGAAGCAGGCUCUCCACUGAGCAAGGAGCCUGAUGCAGGACUCGAUCCCAGGACCUUGGGAUCAUGACCUGAGCCAAAGGCAGACACUUAACCAACUGAGCCACCCAGCCGUCCCUAAGACUUUUUAAAAAGGAAAAUAAAUCUAGCAACACAUGAUUAAGAACUAAAUCUAGAAUGUAGUCCAAAAGUAAAAAGUUGAAAAUACAAGGUUGAUGGGGCGCCUGGAUGGCUCAGUUGGUUAAGCGACUGCCUUCGGCUCAGGUCAUGAUCCUGGAGUCCUGGGAUCGAGUCCCGCAUCGGGCUCCCUACUCGGCAGGGAGUCUGCUUCUCCCUCUGACCCUCCUCCCUCUCAUGCUCUCUGUCUCUCAUUCUCUCUCUCUCAAAUAAAUAAAUAAAAUCUUUAAAAAAAAAAAAAGAAAAAAGAAAA